AUCGCUUCUCGGCCUUUUGGCUAAGAUCAAGUGUAGUAACAAUUAUGGACUGGGCCUGGCCCCUAGAGGUCUCUGAGUUUGCUUCCUGUGGCAUACAUCUUCCAUUCAAGUCUUUAUCUUUGCUUUUCAAGCUCCUAAUACGAGAGAUAGGAGCUCAUGAUAAUUAGGGAUGAAAAACCCCCAAAUGUAGCGUAUGAAGA
Molecule: small nuclear RNA, 200 nt
Organism: Zalophus californianus (California sea lion)
Lineage: Eukaryota; Metazoa; Chordata; Mammalia; Carnivora; Otariidae
Gene: U2
Rfam family: U2 spliceosomal RNA
About the family: U2 is a small nuclear RNA (snRNA) component of the spliceosome (involved in pre-mRNA splicing). Complementary binding between U2 snRNA (in an area lying towards the 5' end but 3' to hairpin I) and the branchpoint sequence (BPS) of the intron results the bulging out of an unpaired adenosine, on the BPS, which initiates a nucleophilic attack at the intronic 5' splice site, thus starting the first of two transesterification reactions that mediate splicing.
Source: Ensembl